UUUUGACCCAGUCAUAAUUGC
Molecule: unclassified non-coding RNA, 21 nt
Filed under: Mus musculus (house mouse)
Lineage: Eukaryota; Metazoa; Chordata; Mammalia; Rodentia; Muridae
Description: oocyte_clustered_small_RNA10397
Source: RNAcentral